RNAcentral lists this ribosomal RNA (714 nucleotides) under Campylobacter jejuni. RNAcentral describes it as "bacterial SSU rRNA". It matches the Rfam family "Bacterial small subunit ribosomal RNA", at positions 819 to 1533 of the family's 1533-position model. Lineage: Bacteria; Pseudomonadati; Campylobacterota; Epsilonproteobacteria; Campylobacterales; Campylobacteraceae. The record is from RNAcentral.
GUUGUUGGGGUGCUAGUCAUCUCAGUAAUGCAGCUAACGCAUUAAGUGUACCGCCUGGGGAGUACGGUCGCAAGAUUAAAACUCAAAGGAAUAGACGGGGACCCGCACAAGCGGUGGAGCAUGUGGUUUAAUUCGAAGAUACGCGAAGAACCUUACCUGGGCUUGAUAUCCUAAGAACCUUUUAGAGAUAAGAGGGUGCUAGCUUGCUAGAACUUAGAGACAGGUGCUGCACGGCUGUCGUCAGCUCGUGUCGUGAGAUGUUGGGUUAAGUCCCGCAACGAGCGCAACCCACGUAUUUAGUUGCUAACGGUUCGGCCGAGCACUCUAAAUAGACUGCCUUCGUAAGGAGGAGGAAGGUGUGGACGACGUCAAGUCAUCAUGGCCCUUAUGCCCAGGGCGACACACGUGCUACAAUGGCAUAUACAAUGAGACGCAAUACCGCGAGGUGGAGCAAAUCUAUAAAAUAUGUCCCAGUUCGGAUUGUUCUCUGCAACUCGAGAGCAUGAAGCCGGAAUCGCUAGUAAUCGUAGAUCAGCCAUGCUACGGUGAAUACGUUCCCGGGUCUUGUACUCACCGCCCGUCACACCAUGGGAGUUGAUUUCACUCGAAGCCGGAAUACUAAACUAGUUACCGUCCACAGUGGAAUCAGCGACUGGGGUGAAGUCGUAACAAGGUAACCGUAGGAGAACCUGCGGUUGGAUCACCUCCUUUCUA